This 519-nucleotide ribosomal RNA is filed under the name uncultured Actinomycetes bacterium. RNAcentral's name for it is "bacterial SSU rRNA". It matches the Rfam family "Bacterial small subunit ribosomal RNA", at positions 355 to 885 of the family's 1533-position model. The record is from RNAcentral. Lineage: Bacteria; Bacillati; Actinomycetota; Actinomycetes.
CGGGGAAUAUUGGACAAUGGGCGGAAGCCUGAUCCAGCAACGCCGCGUGAGGGAUGACGGCCUUCGGGUUGUAAACCUCUUUCAGUAGGGACGAAGCGCAAGUGACGGUACCUACAGAAGAAGGACCGGCCAACUACGUGCCAGCAGCCGCGGUAAUACGUAGGGUCCGAGCGUUGUCCGGAAUUAUUGGGCGUAAAGGGCUCGUAGGCGGUUUGUCGCGUCGGGAGUGAAAACUUGGGGCUUAACCCCAUUCGUGCUUCCGAUACGGGCAGACUAGAGGCAGGCAGGGGAGAACGGAAUUCCUGGUGUAGCGGUGGAAUGCGCAGAUAUCAGGAGGAACACCGGUGGCGAAGGCGGUUCUCUGGGCCUGUUCUGACGCUGAGGAGCGAAAGCAUGGGGAGCGAACAGGAUUAGAUGCCCUGGUAGUCCAUGCCGUAAACGUUGGGCGCUAGGUGUGGGAUCCAUUCCACGGGUUCCGUGCCGCAGCUAACGCAUUAAGCGCCCGCCUGGGGAGUACGG